RNAcentral lists this ribosomal RNA (468 nucleotides) under uncultured bacterium. Its description in RNAcentral is "partial 16S ribosomal RNA". It matches the Rfam family "Bacterial small subunit ribosomal RNA", at positions 28 to 523 of the family's 1533-position model. The record is from RNAcentral.
GAUGAACGCUGGCGGCGUGCCUAACACAUGCAAGUCGAGCGAUUCUUUUCGGAGAAGAGCGGCGGACGGGUGAGUAACGCGUGGGUAACCUGCCCUGUACACACGGAUAACAUACCGAAAGGUAUGCUAAUACGAGAUAAUAUACUUUUAUCGCAUGGUAGAAGUAUCAAAGCUUUUGCGGUACAGGAUGGACCCGCGUCUGAUUAGCUAGUUGGUAAGGUAACGGCUUACCAAGGCGACGAUAAGUAGCCGACCUGAGAGGGUGAUCGGCCACAUUGGAACUGAGACACGGUCCAAACUCCUACGGGGGGCAGCAGUGGGGAAUAUUGCACAAUGGGCGAAAGCCUGAUGCAGCAACGCCGCGUGAGCGACGAAGGCCUUCGGGUCGUAAAGCUCUGUCCUCAAGGAAGAUAAUGACGGUACUUGAGGAGGAAGCCCCGGCUAACUACGUGCCAGCCGCCGCAGUAA